Molecule: ribosomal RNA, 528 nt
Filed under: uncultured bacterium
Lineage: Bacteria
Description: bacterial SSU rRNA
Rfam family: Bacterial small subunit ribosomal RNA
Source: RNAcentral
UGGGGAAUAUUGCACAAUGGGCGAAAGCCUGAUGCAGCGACGCCGCGUGCGGGAUGAAGGCCUUCGGGUUGUAAACCGCUUUCAGCAGGGACGAGGCCGCAAGGUGACGGUACCUGCAGAAGAAGCCCCGGCUAACUACGUGCCAGCAGCCGCGGUAAUACGUAGGGUGCAAGCGUUAUCCGGAUUUACUGGGUAUAAAGGGUGAGUAGACGGCAAUGCAAGUCAGCCGUGAAACCUUGGAGCUCAACUCCAAGCCUGCAGCUGAAACUGUAUAGCUAGAGUACAGGAGAGGAAAGCGGAAUUCCUAGUGUAGCGGUGAAAUGCGUAGAUAUUAGGAAGAACACCAGUGGCGAAGGCGGCUUUCUGGACUGAAACUGACGUUGAGGCACGAAAGUGUGGGGAGCAAACAGGAUUAGAUACCCUGGUAGUCCACACUGUAAACGAUGGAUACUAGGUGUAGGCAUGAAUGUGUCUGUGCCGGCGCAAAUGCAAUAAGUAUCCCACCUGGGGAGUACGACCGCAAGGUUA